UACGGAGGGUGCAAGCGUUAUCCGGAAUUAUUGGGCGUAAAGCGUCCGCAGGCGGUUUAGUAAGUUGGAUGUAAAAGACGGCAGCUCAACUGUCGCAGUGUGUCCAAAACUGUUAAACUAGAGUCUUGGAGAGGUGCGUAGAAUUCUGCAUGUAGGGGUAAAAUCCGUAGAUAUGCAGAGGAAUACCAAAAGCGAAGGCAGCGCACUGGCCAAGAACUGACGCUCAUGGACGAAAGCAUAGGUAGCGAACGGG
Molecule: unclassified non-coding RNA, 253 nt
Filed under: uncultured Candidatus Altimarinota bacterium
Lineage: Bacteria; Candidatus Altimarinota
Description: uncultured Candidatus Gracilibacteria bacterium contains 16S-23S intergenic spacer region
Rfam family: Bacterial small subunit ribosomal RNA
Source: RNAcentral